GAUGAACGCUGGCGGCGUGCCUAAUACAUGCAAGUCGAGCGAACAGAUGAGGAGCUUGCUCCUCUGACGUUAGCGGCGGACGGGUGAGUAACACGUGGAUAACCUACCUAUAAGACUGGGAUAACUUCGGGAAACCGGAGCUAAUACCGGAUAAUAUAUUGAACCGCAUGGUUCAAUAGUGAAAGACGGUUUGCUGUCACUUAUAGAUGGAUCCGCGCCGCAUUAGCUAGUUGGUAAGGUAACGGCUUACCAAGGCGACGAUGCGUAGCCGACCUGAGAGGGUGAUCGGCCACACUGGAACUGAGACACGGUCCAGACUCCUACGGGAGGCAGCAGUAGGGAAUCUUCCGCAAUGGGCGAAAGCCUGACGGAGCAACGCCGCGUGAGUGAUGAAGGUCUUCGGAUCGUAAAACUCUGUUAUUAGGGAAGAACAAAUGUGUAAGUAACUAUGCACGUCUUGACGGUACCUAAUCAGAAAGCCACGGCUAACUACGUG
Molecule: ribosomal RNA, 496 nt
Filed under: uncultured bacterium
Lineage: Bacteria
Description: partial 16S ribosomal RNA
Rfam family: Bacterial small subunit ribosomal RNA
Source: RNAcentral